Molecule: long non-coding RNA, 424 nt
Filed under: Heterocephalus glaber (naked mole-rat)
Lineage: Eukaryota; Metazoa; Chordata; Mammalia; Rodentia; Bathyergidae
Description: lncRNA (ENSHGLG00100034512.1)
Source: RNAcentral
CCCAGCUGCAGCCUUCCUCGUUGCAGGCGAGGCGGCGCAGCCCGGAAGCCGUGAGGAAGCAGGAGAGGGGGACCAGCUGUCAGACCUCAAGCCCAUCCACCCUUCCAUUCCUGGGACGGCCUUUAAGACUUCUCGCCCGAUUUUCACAGCAGCCUUACCAGAAGCCUUAUGCUCCACCGUGCGAACAACCCCACCUCCUCCGAGCUGAUGCAGUCCCCGUGCCCAUACUGCAGGAACUACACCAUUACGGUGACCUCCCCCGUCCCAGGACUGCUCACCUGGCUGCUGUGUGCCUGUCCCUUCAUGCUUGGGUGAGUGGCCUGGCCUGGGGCCCACAGAGGCCCCCCAGAGCCUGAGUGUUGGCCUGGGGGUGGGGGGGGUAGAGGGAACUUGUGCGUGACACAGGCAGGAUGGAAGAUGGGAG